UACGUAGGCGGCCUUUUAAGUCAGGUGUGAAAGCGUGAGGCUUAACCUCAUUAAGCACUUGAAACUGGAAGACUUGAGUGAAGGAGAGGAAAGUGGAAUUCCUAGUGUAGCGGUGAAAUGCGUAGAUAUUAGGUGGAAUACCGGUGGCGAAGGCGACUUUCUGGACUUUUACUGACGCUCAGGUACGAAAGCGUGGGGAGCAAACA
RNAcentral lists this ribosomal RNA (206 nucleotides) under uncultured bacterium. RNAcentral describes it as "partial 16S ribosomal RNA". It matches the Rfam family "Bacterial small subunit ribosomal RNA", at positions 568 to 774 of the family's 1533-position model. The record is from RNAcentral.